Molecule: small nuclear RNA, 106 nt
Filed under: Pongo abelii (Sumatran orangutan)
Lineage: Eukaryota; Metazoa; Chordata; Mammalia; Primates; Hominidae
Source: RNAcentral
GUGCUCACUUUGGGAGCACAUAUACUACAACUGGAAUGAUACAGAGAUUAGCAUGGACCCUGUGCAAGGAUGACAUGCAAAUUCAUGAAGCAUUCCAUAUAUAUAU